GUGAGUCAUCGAAUCUUUGAACGCAUCUUGCGCUCCUUGGCAUUCCGAGGAGCAUGCCUGUUUGAGUGUCGUGAAAUACUCUCAAUUUCAAUCUUUUUGUUUGAAAUUGGAUUUGGACGUUUGUUGUGACCCUCUCAACUCGUCCUAAAUACAUUAGCGAAUCUAGCCUUGAUCACGCACGAUGUGAUAAAAUAUAACAUUGUUGAAGAUCAAGUCAAGUCGCUUCUAAUCGUCGAAAGACAACUUCAUGUCAUUUGACCUCAAAUCAGGUAGGACUACCCGCUGAACUUAAGCAUAUCAAUAAGCGGAGGA
RNAcentral lists this unclassified non-coding RNA (312 nucleotides) under Geastrum sp. RNAcentral's name for it is "partial contains 5.8S ribosomal RNA, internal transcribed spacer 2, and large subunit ribosomal RNA". The stretch from base 1 to 71 matches the Rfam family "5.8S ribosomal RNA", at positions 84 to 154 of the family's 154-position model. The record is from RNAcentral. Lineage: Eukaryota; Fungi; Basidiomycota; Agaricomycetes; Geastrales; Geastraceae.